This 24-nucleotide non-coding RNA is filed under the name Mus musculus (house mouse). Lineage: Eukaryota; Metazoa; Chordata; Mammalia; Rodentia; Muridae. The record is from RNAcentral.
CUCACUUAGAAUGGAGGCCGAGGG